AUUGAACGCUGGCGGCAUGCCUAACACAUGCAAGUCGAACGGCAGCACGGCAGUAGCAAUACUGUGGGUGGCGAGUGGCGGACGGGUGAGGAAUACGUCGGAAUCUGCCCAGUCGUGGGGGAUAACUAGCCGAAAGGUUAGCUAAUACCGCAUACGACCGAGAGGUGAAAGCGGGGGACCGCAAGGCCUCGCGCGAUUGGAUGAGCCGACGUCGGAUUAGCUAGUUGGUGGGGUAAAGGCCCACCAAGGCGACGAUCCGUAGCUGGUCUGAGAGGAUGAUCAGCCACACUGGAACUGAGACACGGUCCAGACUCCUACGGGAGGCAGCAGUGGGGAAUAUUGGACAAUGGGGGCAACCCUGAUCCAGCCAUGCCGCGUGUGUGAAGAAGGCCUCGGGUUGUAAGCACUUAAGUACGAGGAGGAAGGUUUUA
Molecule: ribosomal RNA, 431 nt
Filed under: uncultured bacterium
Lineage: Bacteria
Description: bacterial SSU rRNA
Rfam family: Bacterial small subunit ribosomal RNA
Source: RNAcentral